RNAcentral lists this non-coding RNA (23 nucleotides) under Arabidopsis thaliana (thale cress). The record is from RNAcentral. Lineage: Eukaryota; Viridiplantae; Streptophyta; Magnoliopsida; Brassicales; Brassicaceae.
GAAAUCACGAUUGUUGGUGCUGC